GUUCUCGUAGUUGAAUUACAACGGUGGUUUAACGUGCCACUGGUCAUGGAUGAAUUCCAUGUGGGAAUU
This 69-nucleotide transfer RNA is filed under the name Bradypus variegatus (Brown-throated sloth). RNAcentral describes it as "tRNA-Glu". The record is from RNAcentral. Lineage: Eukaryota; Metazoa; Chordata; Mammalia; Pilosa; Bradypodidae.